Molecule: microRNA, 22 nt
Filed under: Melibe leonina
Lineage: Eukaryota; Metazoa; Mollusca; Gastropoda; Nudibranchia; Dendronotidae
Description: mle-miR-2i-3p
Gene: mle-miR-2i-3p
Source: miRBase by way of RNAcentral
UAUCACAGUAAGUAGAUGGGGA